CCUGACUCCAUCUCUUGGCUGAUAACUAAAGUCUGUCAUCAUAGCAGCAGACCUUUUAUUCAAGACUGGGUUUUGCCCUUGGGGGGCUGUCGUGGGUGUGUGUGUGUGUGUGUGAGCAGGUAAGGGGUGUGUGUGUGUGUGUGUGUGUGUACAGGAGCAGGUAAGGGGGGGACCAGCCAGGACCUAGGGCAUCCCAGAAAGGCCCAGGGGCGUGACAGCAGCCAGGGAUGGGGCAAACUUCUCCAUGCCCAGCAGUCCAAGACCACCAAUCAGCAUCCCAUAGCCCUGAUCUGCUUUCAUGAUCCCCAGAAAUUCAGAAAACAGGCCUCCUGCCCAAUGCAAUUAAUAAGUUUGACCACGUCUGUUUGCAGUGGUGAGGAGGCUGGUGGGGUGGUCAAGUUAGCAAAGUCAGUGUGAGUUCCUUGGUGGCCAGUAAUGAAUCUGAUAAUCAAAGGUUUAAAUUGUAGCCCCUUCUCACCUGGGCUGCAAGGGAGGUGGCAGGCAUUGGGAGGUUAAUUUAAGGGCCCUGCGGAGAGCUUAUCCUUGACUGUGGGGCUGGCCCUUUGGUCAUAUGGCUUCCCAUCCUCUUCUGAACACUGGCUCUGGGUUGAUUGGGGAGGGGUGUGGUCCAGGGCCAAUGUAAACCUAGCCCCAUCCUACAGGCAACCCCACCUUCCUUUAGAGGGGAGAUAGGCAGAGAAGCAGAUGAUCAUUUAUGCCAGGCUGGGUGCUGGGAAGGAGGAGACUGGGCAGCGGUGCCCAAGGAGACAUAAUGGAGACAGGGGGUUGCUCCUCCGUCCACCAGGUAGCUCAAUUUGACCCUCCUGAGAUAGCCUUUCGUAGGCUCCCUGCUCCUGGCUCACCCACCAGAGGGACCCAAGCUGACUUCCAGUCUUCUCAGCAUGAAACACCCUCAGGGGUCCCCAGCACCCGUAGGAUGAGGAUCAGACAUGAUCAUCAUCCAGCCCAUGCCCAGGGCCUUCUGUCUGCUGGCUGACCCUGGACCCAUUCCUGAUCGCCACAUCCCCAGUGCCCUGAGUGGUGGGUGGCAUGGCAGAAGGCAAGGCUCCUGCAGUGGAUUUGCUGCCACUUGGGAGGACAGGGAAGAGAAUAAAAGGAGUCAGGGCUGCCUUCAGGUAUGGGGAGAGGACUGGUCUUAUGAGAUGUGAGGGGGAAAGUGAGGCUGUGGAUUUAGGAAGGGUAAUCAGAGAGCAGCUAGGCACUAUAGGUCUGUGCUGCCCUGAGACAGAGGCCCAGGAAUGAUGUGCUGCCCUGAGUCAGGGAGGCUUGGAUGUGAACAUGGGCAUCCUUGGCAGAGAAAUGGGGUGACUGCAGAGUGAGUGCACACAUAGAAGGGGAGAUGCUAAUAUUAGAGGACUGGGGAGAUGAGAAGCACCCCACUGGCACAGGACAGCCAGUGGGGACGGGUGAAGGUGGUGUUUGUAGGAGGAGGGAGGCAUUGGCCAUGCCACUUGCUGCAGGGGCCCAGGUCAAGUGAGGACUGAGAAGAGACUAGCAAGAACCAGUCCGAUGGGCAUUGGUCUUGGCAAGCAAGUAGUGAGGACACAGAGGUAGCAAGUUCAGAUAGCAGUUCCGUAGAGCAGAGAAUAGGGGUAGUACCUGGAGAGUGAAGUGAGGGUUGUUUUUACUAUGGGGAAAGUAACCUCAUUUUCAUAUGCUGGUGGGAAUGAUCUGGAAGACAGGGAGACAUUGAUGGUUCAGGAACCAGAGGGGACUAGCUAUAAUUUUGCCUAGAGCUGGCAGAGGGCAGGCAGGCCCAGGUGGAGGGAUGCUCAGCAAGCUGUCUGUAGUAACAGGCAGCAUUGCCAGGUGUCAGGGCAGAUGCUGGUAGGUGGGUAACGUGGCAGUGGCAUCUGUGGAAGUUCCCUUUGGAUGUUUUCAUUUUCUCAGAGGAAAAGGAAGCAAGGUCAGCCGCUGUGAGUGGGGAUGGGGAGGAGGUGUUGGGAGGUGGAGAAGCAGCAAGUAGGUGUGAAGUCACUUUCCAGGCAAGUUGGGAAGGAAGGGAACAGGGAUGUGGUGAGAUUCCUGGAGGAGCAGAAAUUGAGGCCCAUCCACUCAGCAUGCAUUUUCCUGUUGUAUAUGAUAGGUGGCCCUAAGCAGGGUGGGAUUUUGCCCCAUUAGUACAAUAGAGAGAUGGGAAUGCAUUCAUUGGCUUCCAAGUGAGGACAAGCGAAGGGCUGUGAGCAUUGGCAGCAUCGAUAGAAUGAGGGGGCAUCAGAGGGCAUAAGCUGGAAAGAGAGUUAGGUGUCGGAAGUGGGAUUAUGGCAGGGGUCUGGCCCUGAGGAAGGCACAGUGGGCAAUAAAGUUGGUCUGGGAGCUGGGCCUGAUUCCUGUCCCCCACCUCCAGCACAGCAGGCCCUCCUCUUUGGUCUGCCAUAGUUUCAGCAAGUGUUGGUUGUGUACUGUGUGUGCCAGGCUCAGUGCUGGGGCCCCAUAUUCCUCAUGCUCCUGAGCCCUACUCCCAGGGCUCUGGAGCCAAUGCAUCACCUGUUCAUCUCCUCUCUGUAGACCCUUUACUGGAGCAGGAGGGUGAGGCCUGGGUUUGGCCUGCCCUGACUCAGGUAUGAUAUUUGAGUCAUAUGGCUACUCAGGGCUCAGGUUCUACAUCUGAAAUCCAGGUGGGAUGCAGAACAGUGGGAACACUGGUGGGCCCUGACUUGCAGAGAGUAGGCAUGGAGGGAUGCCCAGGGAUGAUAGCCUGCUGUCCUAGGUGCCUCUGCCCCACCCACCCUCCUCGUACCCCCAGCUAUUUAUCUCUCUUCCCCUCUGGAAGUCAUAGUCCUUGGGCCUUCUCCUAAUGAGCCUGUUGGCAGCUCAGAGCUAGCUGUGCUCUACUGAGGCUCAGGCUUGCUAGAGGCCAUGGACAUGUCCAGCACAUGGCCAGUUGGCCCUGCUUUGUUGCCAGUCUUGUUUCUGGCACUGGGACCCUGAGGAAGAGGAGCAGACACAGCCCCUGUACUCAGGGACAACCCUCUGCAUUGUAGGACCAGGGCAGGGAUAGAAAAGAAGCUGGCUCCUGGCCCAGUGAGAGGGAGUUUAGGGAGGCCUUCCUGGAGAAGGUGAACAGAGUGACAGGGAAGGGCAUAUUUUAAACAGGCAGCACAGUGUGCGCCUUGGUCCAGGGUGACUCUGCCACAGCCUUGUCUACCUGCCAGGGUUGGCCUGUGUUGCCCUGGCCCUGGCCACACCCUGGGUCUGCCCACUCACUGAGGUGGGCAGGACAUGAAGUGCCAUCUGCCAGCACAUGUUCCUGCCGUGGCAGAGUAAGGGGACAGGAGAAGAUGAGCAAGCUGGCUUCUCCUAAACCCCAGUCAGCAGAGCCAACUAUUGAAAUGUUUCCAGCUGUAUCUCCUGACUCUCAUCUAGGCAGGAGGGAGCAGAGGCACCAAGGGGAUGGGCAAGAGACAGAAGGGGGCCCUUGAUGCUGGGUGGAAAGGAGUUAACCUAGAGCUGGAGGGAGCAAGUGAGAUCCUUGCAGAGGGGACACAGGGACAAAGUCACUGGGAUGAGAAACUGCCCGUAGCAGGUAAAGGACGAGUAGCAAUUUGGCUUUGCUGAAGCAUGACUGUGGAGCCAGGCUGGGAGCAGAAGGCCAGGGAAGACAGAGGCUGUGCCCACAGAUCACAGAUCAUGAGACACAGGCUAGAGUGGCUCUUGGGCCUUUGGCUGACCAUGGGACAGUGAUGCCCUCAACCUUGCCCCACCUGUCAUCAUAAUAAGGAACUGGCAGGGCACUCUGGAAGGAUGGGAGCUGCUGGCCUCCAGGGUGCCUCUCUGUCCCCCAGAAACCUCACUAGCACUCUCUGAGCCCCCAGCUUCUGUGUCCCUAGUAUACCAUGGAGCCGGGAAGGGUUUCCACCUGGAACUCAUAUGAGCUUCCUCCCCCAGGCCCAGCAGGCCCCAGGGCACACCCUGAAUGUCCCAAUCUCCACCCUCAACCCCAAUGACCUCGUCCCCACAGCCCUCGAAGCCACUUCCUGGGGGAGGAAGGUGGACAUCUGCUGACAGUGCUGUUCCCCAGCUGCCCUCUAGGAUGCAAGGCUGCUAUGGAUAAACAGAACAUGCUUCUGGCUUCUGUUGAGGUCCAGAGAGACACACAGGGCCCAGUUAGCACCUCUCCUCCAUGUGAGGACACCCAUGUCCACAAAUGUAGCCUGGGAUGACCAAGGCCAGUCUCAGGGCAGUUCAGCCUUGAUGGCCCAAGCCAACCCUCUGUCCAUCUAUCUGCCCAGUGGCCACUAGGCCCUUCUGCCAGCAGGAGCAGGAGGGUGGCACCCUGUCUGCAGUUGGGGGUGACACCAAGACUGGUCAUCCCUGUGGCUUACAUGGCUCUGCAAUCUCCCUCUGGGGCAAUAGUUGGCUCUGCUGACUGGGGUUUAGGGGAAGCCAAGUGGGAAGCAGUUAAUUCCCUUUUCUGCUGUCUCACAGAGCAUGUCUACUCUCCUUUCAAAAUACUUUGGCAAGUGCAGCUCUCCUACAGCAGGCACAGUGCUGGCACCAGUAGAGGGACCACUUACAGGGGUGCCAAGGAGGGGGAUAGCAGCCUUAGGAAGGCCUAAAAUACCUGGGUUUUGUCUCUUCUUCACCAAGACUUGCUCUGCAAUCUUGGGCCUUUUGCUUAAACUCCCUGGGCCACAGUUUUUUCAACUGUAAGCUGGGAAUGGGAAUUUCCAUCCACAUGUGGUUACCUGGCUCAAAACAAUUUCAGUAAUGCUUAAUAAAUGCCCCAAGGAACCAGAGUCAGAGCCCAGUGAAGUCACAGCUCUGCCCCCAACAGGCUGUGUCUCUGAAAGUUCUGCCCCUUCCCUGGGCCUCAGUUUCCCUGUGGUUCCAAGUCUCCUUUCUACUCUGAGCUGUCACUCUACUGGAACCUCACCUUCCAUGAGUGCCCCCUGGUCCUGUAGGGGUGGGGACUCAUUGACAAGGGCUGGGAAGGGGGAGCCCAUGGGAAUUGGUGGCUUCGCUCAAGCCACUGACGACAGGCCAGUUGUUUCCAGCUGCUGUUGAAGGAAGCCCCAACUUGCCCUGUUCUCUGCUCAGGCAGAAGCACUGGGGACAUUUCCUGAGAGUGGAUGCUGGGACCAGAAUUACAAAGUCCAAUUCAACCAGAGGCCAAACCACUGCCCCAUCCCACCACCCCGUCAGCCCCACAGUAUUUUGGGGCCCCAGCUCCUGCUUGUCUCUGCAGAUCAGCUCAGGAAAUUGGGACACAGGUCCCAUUUUACAGAUGAGGAAACCGAGGCUCAUAGAAGCAGAGAUCAACAGAGAAGCUCAGAGAAGGUCCCAUUUUACAGAUGAGGAAACCGAGGCUCAGAGAAGCAGGGCUCACAACCCAGGCCAAGAGCUUUCCCUCAGCCCAAAAAAUCCAUGGUUAUGGUGAUUCUCUCUCAUGCUCUCUCUCUUUUUUUUUUUUUUGUACCCAAAUUUGAUCCUUAGUACAUUUUUCUGAUUUUUCAUCUUCACUGUAAAAAAUAUGACAAAUCCAGAAAAGUAUAAAGAAAAAAUUUAAAUUACCCAGUAUCCCACCACUCAGACAUAACAAUGUUAAAGAAAUUAACAUUUCUUUGCUUCUAUUAUUGUUUGUGGCUAUCUGUAUGCAGUUUUUUUUUUUUAAAUAGGAUUAUAUAGCUCUUUCUCUUAACACACUCAUCCGCCCGUGUCUUUAAGCAUUCUUCGGAAGCCAGGUUUCUAGUGCAGCAUCAGAACCUUUAUUGAUGGUAUGAGCCCCUCUCAGCAGAGAUCAGAGCUCUGGCUUUGACCCCAGGACCAGCAAAACAGCCUGAGCCUCACCACAUACAAGUCUCUGCCAGUCCUUUGGCUGGUCCCCUAAGAGACUCCAGGAAGGGGACAACCAAGCAGACACAUGUCUAAGGCUCCUCCAGCAGGGCAGUACCAUAACAGAGCCAGGCCAGACCUAUGUCCUGCCUCAUAUCCAUCUACUGUCCCAGAGGUCCCAGGAGAGGAUGAAGUGGGCCCUGGGCUCCUAACACUCACCGUGUCCCACAGCCUAGUGGAUAUUCCCAACUACCUCUCCAUACAUCAGCCAUUGUGGCUUUCCAGCAAAGAUGAAGGGGAGAGGGGCUGGCAGAGACUUGCUGUCCCUCUAUCCUCCUGACCACUGAGCUCUGCACACCAGGACCAGUCACUAGACAGGAACACAGUG
Long non-coding RNA from Nycticebus coucang (slow loris), 6184 nucleotides. RefSeq lists it as uncharacterized. Lineage: Eukaryota; Metazoa; Chordata; Mammalia; Primates; Lorisidae. The record is from RefSeq and is a predicted model, not a curated record. The transcript has 3 exons.